RNAcentral lists this long non-coding RNA (965 nucleotides) under Setaria viridis. Its description in RNAcentral is "long non-coding RNA (SVIR_LNC004838)". The record is from RNAcentral. Lineage: Eukaryota; Viridiplantae; Streptophyta; Magnoliopsida; Poales; Poaceae.
AGAUAAUAAGAGCGCUAGAAAGGUGACUUCCAUGGCAGUGACCCAAUGGGAGGAGAGGUUUAUCAAACCAAGUGAAAUCCGUUUUUAGGAUCAAGAUGGUUGUGUUUUCUCCAUGAGAGUUUGUCGGCCAUGGAUUUAGGUUUUGAGUUGUAGAUGCUGUUGUACGGGCUAGCAGUAUAGCUCGAAGGAGGAGAUCGAGUGCGUGGCAUCAAUUUUGGAUUUGGCAGCGCGAUGGCCCAAGCGACACAAUUAUGUCUAUGAACCCAAUAAUAUUUUAAUAUUUUAGCGUAGAAGAUGUUGCUAACAUUAUUUUGCAAGAGGAUCAAAGACUGCGAGACAAUUGAAUAAUGGGAGUAUGAAUAACAAAGUAUGAGGAUGCGAUGGGAGUGUGGGCAACAUGAAGGGAUGGGACUAUACAUCGAUUGCAGACACCAGCGACACCCAUAGCAUGGGCAAUGCCGGCCUGACCAAGACCAUGGCAAGGUGUGUGCAAGUGACAAAUAAUAGGGUAGGUCUGAUCUUGACGGCUAUACAGUAGAUUUUCAUUAGUUCUUACAUGUGCAAUGACAAUAUUAUUAGUGAUACUUGUGUGUGUGAGGCGCACAUGACGAUGAUAGUUUUGAUCUACAAUAUGAGCGCACAUUUAAAAGAUAUCAGGAUGCACAACUCAAUACAAGAAUGAGCAACAAAGUACAGGCAUACCGCGGCUUUAAAGCUUGGGGUGGGGGGAGGGAGGGAGAAGUGGCAUUCCCAAAACGUUGUUUUAGAGUUCAUGAAAAUUUUAGAAGAAAAAUAAUAAUAGCUUGCAGCCUUUGAACCCAAAAGAAAAACUAAUAGGAGGAAGAGUGCAAAGAUAAAAGGAACGUAGAAAAGAAUAAGUCGAAGCAUACAUCAGGGACAUGAAUUUUUUUCUCCUUUUUCUCCUGUUGAAAAAGGAGGAAGAUGAAUUAAGAAAUCGUGAAAAA